Long non-coding RNA from Oreochromis niloticus (Nile tilapia), 310 nucleotides. RefSeq lists it as uncharacterized. The transcript is spliced from 2 exons. Lineage: Eukaryota; Metazoa; Chordata; Actinopteri; Cichliformes; Cichlidae. The record is from RefSeq and is a predicted model, not a curated record.
GGCUUUAAUAACUCCAAAGACAUGUUGCUGCACCUCUUUUUGCUUCUAUCUCACAUUAUAGGACUAACAGCUGGAGACUCAAUCACUCCUCAACAAACUGAAGUCACUGAAACAGAAGGAAAAUCUGUCACACUCACAUGUAACUAUCAGACAGAUAGUGGUUACCCACUCCUAUACUGGUACAGACAUCAUUCUUAUCUCCAGGUUCCUCGGUUUAUACUCUACAAAGGAGGAAAAUUAGAGACAGCUCAAUAUAUUCCUGAUGAUCGAUAUGGAUCCCAAACAUCACCUACAUCAACUAAUCUGACCA